Armigeres subalbatus is the source of this 702-nucleotide long non-coding RNA. RefSeq lists it as uncharacterized. NCBI's taxonomy places the organism in Eukaryota, Metazoa, Arthropoda, Insecta, Diptera, Culicidae. The record is from RefSeq and is a predicted model, not a curated record. The transcript has 3 exons.
ACGCAAUCCUGAGUUCUAUACGACAACAUGCGUAGUAAGCGCCAUUUGUUACUCAGCUGUGUGGAGGAAGGAGAAAGCUUGCACGAUAUAUGAACUACUAAUUCCUAUCCGGAAAACGACGUUUUUGCGGGUACAAUUUAAAACGUCUAGCCCUAUGACUACAACGGAAACCGGAUCUACGGAGGAAGAGCAUCGCUUUCUCAACAUGAUCAUGGACAUUUGCGAGGUAAAGGAAUCGGAUCUAUUUUUAAGGAUCAACAACCACUAACUUUCCCGCAUAGUUGGAUGUCCUCCGCAAAGCUUCAACGUUCUUCACAUAAUCGCUGUGCCAAUUUACAGAAGAAGCUCUUUGAUAAUGCUGGUACUCAAUCGGCAAGCACUUCUUUAUUGUAAGUCUAUGACGUCGUCUAGAAACACCGAGUUCCGUGCCGCUCGUUGAUGUUCUUUCCCCGGUGGUGAUUCAUCUGAAACCAGUCGGGUAGUUUCGAUUACGUAGCCGCACCUUUCGCCAUGCCAUUUCACAAGAUCGGAAGGUUAUAUUCAAGACGACAUGCUGCACCCGGCUGCUAUUUCCCUCACCAAUUACACGGAUGGCUCGAUCAGGACAACGAAUCUUCACUAUAUAUAGGCCUCCAAUAGGCGAACAAUGCUAUGUUGAAUUUAUGCCGCUUCAGCUGUAUAAAAAUAACCCAAUUUGUGGGC